UGCAACUCGACUCCAUGAAGCUGGAUUCGCUAGUAAUCGCGCAUCAGCCAUGGCGCGGUGAAUACGUUCCCGGGCCUUGUACACACCGCCCGUCAAGCCAUGGGAGUCGGGAGUGCCUGAAGUUCGUGACCGUCACAGGAGGCGACCUAAGGCAAGACCGAUGACUGGGGCUAAGUCGUAACAAGGUAUC
This 190-nucleotide ribosomal RNA is filed under the name uncultured bacterium. Its description in RNAcentral is "partial 16S ribosomal RNA". It matches the Rfam family "Bacterial small subunit ribosomal RNA", at positions 1306 to 1500 of the family's 1533-position model. The record is from RNAcentral.